GAUGAAGAACGUAGCGAAAUGCGAUACUUGGUGUGAAUUGCAGAAUCCCGUGAACCAUCGAGUCUUUGAACGCAAGUUGCGCCUCAAGCCAUUAGGUUGAGGGCACGUCUGCCUGGGCGUCACAUAUCGUUGCCUGAUGCCAGUUUCCUCGUGAUGGGUGACUGUGCAGGGCGAAUGAUGGCUUCCCGUGAGCAUUGUUGCCUCAUGGUUGGUUAAAAUUGAGUCCUUGGUAGGGAGCGCCGUGAUAGAUGGUGGUUGAGUGACGAACGAGACCCAAUCAUGUGAGACCCCUACCGAAUUUGGCCUUCAUGACCCACAUGCAUCUUUGGAACGCUCAUGACGAGACCUCAGGUCAGGCGGGGCUACCCGCUGAGUUUAAGCAUAUCAAUAAGCGGAGGA
This 399-nucleotide unclassified non-coding RNA is filed under the name soil metagenome. RNAcentral's name for it is "partial contains 5.8S ribosomal RNA, internal transcribed spacer 2, and large subunit ribosomal RNA". The stretch from base 1 to 122 matches the Rfam family "5.8S ribosomal RNA", at positions 35 to 154 of the family's 154-position model. The record is from RNAcentral.